Hypanus sabinus (Atlantic stingray) is the source of this 6166-nucleotide long non-coding RNA. RefSeq lists it as uncharacterized. Lineage: Eukaryota; Metazoa; Chordata; Chondrichthyes; Myliobatiformes; Dasyatidae. The record is from RefSeq and is a predicted model, not a curated record. The transcript has 3 exons.
CCAGGCUGGUUCAAAGUACAUUACUCUCACAGAAAGAAGAACUAGACCAGACUUGCUCUGUUUGAAGCUGCGGUACAUUCUACAUUUUAUUCCUGGGAAUUCUUCACGAAAAGAUCAAGGCCAUGUCUGUGGAGAUUUUCACGCUAUGGAUUUGGAAGGGGAUCUGCUCACAGCUGCUGAAAUCCAUUACACAAGCCGUAUAUACUGUACUGUAUAUAAUCCUCCCUUUACCCCCCAGCUAUUCCCGGCACGCAAUAACGUGGCAUGUUCACUCUAAGGGGUUCCGCAACACAGUUGAAGUUUAUUUUAAAAAUUGUCCCCUCUCAAUCAUGCGAAACUUGAUCAGCUGACCGUUGCGCAAUGAAAAUGACUGCGGUAAUAAUCUUGACAGGUGACAUUCCUCGCAUAAUAGAACAUAAAAACCAUACAGCACAACACAGGCACUUCCGUCCGCAAAGCUGUGCCGAACCUUACCUCAGAACUACCUAGGCUUACCCAUAGCCCUCUAUUUUUCUAAGCUCCAGGUAUCUAUCCAAAAGUCUCUUAAAAGACCCUGUCGUAUCCGCCUCCACCACUGUCGCCGGCAGCCCAUUCCAUGCACUUUGAGUAAAAAACUUACCCUUAUACCUACUCCCCAGCACCUUAAAACUAUGCCCUCUCAUGCUAGCCAUUUCAGCGGUGGGGAAAGGCCUCUGACUGAAAGCCAGAGUACAAGGUCAUCGAAGUCAAACAGCGGAUUGGAACCGAGUUUUCUUUUCGAUACGCGGUUUAGUUUCUACUGUGAGUUAAAAUCGCCGCUGUAACUGCAAAACCACUCUCUGUAACGCUGUUAGCAGCUGGGGAGGAGAGCCUGGAGUUCUCAGAACCUUGGCGAUGGAGACGGAGGUGUCACUGCUCUGGGUGUUGAGCCAGUCGACUGUCACUCUCAUCAACUGGAAAAAGCAGAUAUCAUUUCUGUGACAAAGGUUGAGAGACCUCUGGAAAGGAAACGUCUCCAUUCUCCUCUGCCCUCUUUCAUUAACAAGGUGGUUUUGCCCACAGAACCAUCACUCACUUGAUCUCCCCCCCCCCCCCCACCAUUCUCUGUAAACUCCAGAGACUGCUGUGCAUGAAAAUCUCAGGAGAUCAGCAGUUGUUGAGAUACCCAAACUACCCCAUCUGGCACCAACAAUCCUUCCAGGGUCAAAGUCACAUUUUUCCCCAAUCUAAUGUCUGGUCUGAACGGCAGCUGAACCUCUUGACCAGGUCUGCGUGCUUUUAUACAUUGAGUUGCUGCCUCACGAUUGGCUGAUUAGAUAUUUGUAUUAAUGAGCAGGUGUACAGGUGCAGCUUGUAAAUUGUUGGUGCCAGAUGGGGUGGUUUGAGUAUCUCAGAAACUGGGAUCUUCGUGCACAACAGUCUGUAGAGUUUACAGAGAGUGGGGCAAAAAAACCAAAAGGACAUCCAGUGAGAGGCAGUUCUGUGGGUGAAAACGCCUUGUUAACGAGCGAGGUCAGAGGAGAAUGGCCAGACUGGUUCAAGCUGAUAGGAGGGUGUCAGUAACUCAAACAACCACGUGUCACAACAGUGGUGUGCCGAAGAACAUCUCAGAACACACAACAUAUCAAACCUUGAAGUGGACGGGCUACAGCAGCAGAAGAUCAUGAACAUACACUCAGUGGUACAGGAGGUAUCUAAUGAAGUGGCCACUGUGUGUAUAUGGAAUACUUUGACAAUAAGUUUUACUUUAACUUUGUCAAUGCUUUACCGUGCAUAAUAUUUCCAAGGCUCAUUGCCUGGUUCUGAGGUGUGUGCUGCACUGAUGAACUACAACUUUGAACAGGGAGCAGUCUGGUCACACUUUCGAUGAUCAUUUCCAGAAUUGCAACCUCCGGCUCAGUGGUAAAACAGGCUCUGCGAUUUUCCACCUGAUUGAAAAUAGAAAGUAAAAACAUUAACUGCAAAACAUUAAGGCCUCCAACCCCAAGAACCCUCUGUCCCUCCACACUGCUGAGAAUCCUGCUAUGAACCCCACGUUCUGCCUUCAAAUCCGACCUUCCAACUUGCUUUGCUUCACAUUUUUCACACUUUCCUUUUUGUUGAUCUUAACAAAAGACUAAGCUGUGACUGCUUUUUUAUUUAGAUAUCUGUGAAAUUCCUCCUCGCUCGACCCGUUGGCCCAGCAUACCCUGCCGUAGCCUCCCGCCACUUCACAGAUCCUCAGUUUCUCUCCAGCACCCAUUGUUCGAGCAUUGUUCGCCGAGAAAGUAAACGCCUGAGAUCUUUUGAAAAGUGGCUUGUCGCUUGCCGAAGUGGGCCGUAAGGUCGGAAAGAACAAAUCGAGCACAGUAAAGCAGAAAGAAGCUGAAGUUGAUGGAAGUGAUAGUGCUGCCCCUACAACAGCAAAAAUGGUCUCUCUGGUUCGUGAUAAAGUGCUUGCAAAAACUGAGAAAGCAUUAAGUGUGCGGGUGGAGGACAUGCCACAGAAGCGUAUCCCUGCCGAUGGCAAAGUUAUGCGUGAAAAAGCACUACUGUGAGAGGGUUGAGGUGAACAACUUGCAGCACCGUAUGUUCACGGCAACAUCCUUGAAAGGUUCUCAAACUUCUAAACCUCAAAGUAUGUAUAAAUCCCUUCUAAAUGAAAUGUGUGUCCUUGAUAAAGAUAACUGGCCCGCUGAAAUACCGCCUAAUUAUGGAGAAGCUGCAACGUCAUCUCUCUGUAAGAGAUUUAAGCUUUCUUCCUCCUCUGUAAUAAAUGCCUUCAGAGAUUAUGUGGAGGAUCGUGGACGCCGCACCCCCCAAGAUUUACGCCCAUUACUGAGCUGUGCACAAGUUAGUACUGCUGAGUAUGAGAGAGGAUUCAGUCACAUGAACUUGAUAAUAACAACAACACUCUCAAGAAUGCUGAUAAAUCAUGUAUCAGCACUUACGUUUGUUAAACUACAUGGACCUCCUCUAGUUCAGUGGAAUCCUGAGCCAAAUGUCACAUCAUGGCUGCGGUACCACAGAUGAUAACAGAUAACACCAGGACAAGAGUUGUUUCAGACCCCCCGAACACAUAUUAUGCCUGACCCUUUGUGGAAAUGAUAGUGAAACUUCUCAUUGGUGGUAUUUGACCCCGGUAAAAAGGCGAUUGGAGGCACUGCUCCCCCCUCUGUCUCCAGGAUGUCGUAUGGGGAUCUCUUGCUGCUGACUGCUUUCUUCCAGCGAAUAAAAGCCUAUAUCUCGCCUCACGUCUCCGAGAGUUAUUGAUGGUGCAUCAGGCUGAUAAUUACAUUCUGAUAAUUUUGCCAAAUCUUUUGGCAUAAUGAUGCCCAAAUACUUGAACGACUCUGUGUGCCAUGCCCAGGGAUAUCUACUUCCUAUUUCUCUUGGUGGGCUAUAGUAAUAUGAAAGUAAUUGGGUUUUAUCUAUGUUGAUCUUGUAUCCUGAUAAUUGACCAUAUUGUUCAAAGGAUUGCAUCAAUUUAAGUAAAGAGUAUGUUGGUUGCCCUAGAUAGAUCAAAAUGUCAUCCAUGUAACAAGCCAAUUUAUGCUCUGUCCCUUUAAUAGUAAUUCCCCUGAUAUCUUCAUUUUGUCUGAUGUAUUGAGCUAAUGGUUCCAGAUAUAACGCGAAGAGUAGUGGUGACCAUGCACAACCUUGUCUCGUGCCCCUUUCUAGAGUAAGACUAUUUGAUAAAUAUCCAUUGAUUUUAAUCCUAGCAAUAGGAUUGUCAUAUAGUGUCUGUAUAGUUUUAAUAAUUGUGUCAUGUAAACCAAAUCUAUGUAAAACUCUGUAAAGAACAUUCCAAUUAACCGAAUCAAAUGCCUUUUCAGCAUCUACACUUAUCACUAUUGCUUCGAUUUUAUUUUUUUGUAUAUGAUCCAUAAUGUGAAGUGUCCUUCGUAUAUUGUCUUGUGUUUGGCGUUGUCGUAUAAAACCUGUCUGAUCGUUAUGUAUCAGUGUGGGUAGAAACUCUUCUGAUCAUUUGGCCAUGAUGGAGGUAAAUAAUCUAUAAUCUACAUUAAGAAUGGAUAUUGGUCUAAAUGACCCACAUUCCAAUUUAUCCUUGCCUUCUUUUGGUAUAGCUGAGAUUAUCGCUUCCUUCCAACUGGGUGGCAUUUGUGCCUUUUUUAGAGCCCAGUUCAGUGUGGGGAGUAGAACAGGAAUUAAAUUAUUUUAUACCACUCUGCCGUAUAUCCAUCUGAUCCUGGUGACUUGCUUAAUUUAAGCCGACUAAUUGCAGCUUUUAAUUCAACUUCAGUUUUGUCAGCAGUCAUUGUUCUAUUUUGUUCUUCGCUUACAGUGGGUAACUCUAGAGAAUUCAGGAAGGUGUCAAUUUGGGUUAUGCUUCCCCCUGGAACUUUGGAACAUAGAGUUUUGUAAAACACUUCAAAAGCUUCUUGAAUUUCACUAAGCUUCUUUUUUAUCAUUUUUGUUCUUGGGUCCCUAAUUCUAUGAAUUGUAUUUUCUGCCUUUUUCCCCCUUUUUUUUGUGUUUCCAAGCCAUUAUUUUCAGAGAUUUCAAUCCACUUUCAUAAUGUCUCUGUUUCAGAAUCAUUAAAAUUUUCCUGAUUUUUUGCGUAGCCAAACAAUUAAUUUCAUUCCUAAUUCUUUUAAUUUCCCCUAAUAUAUCCUGUGCCAAUUCAAUUUGUGUUUUUUCUCUAAUUCCUUCAGCCUAUUUUGUAAUUCCUCUAAUGGUUUAUUGCUUUUUUUUCUUAUAUGAAGAUAUCGCUAUAAUUUUCCCUCUUAAGACAGCCUUCAGAGUAUCCCACAAAAUGGGAGGUGAAUCCUCUCCAUUAUCAUUAAAUUCUAAGUACAGACCAAUUUCUUUUUUAAUUUGUUCUUUAAAGUACGGAUAAUUGAGUAGACUUGAAUUUAGUUUCCAAAUAGUAUUCUUUGGUUGUAGGUCAAAAUCAACAGAUAAAUAUAUAAGUGCAUGGUCACUUACAUCUAUUGUCCCAAUUCCACAGGUAUUUAUUUUGUCUUUGUCUUUUCCAACUGUUAUGAAAUAGUCUAUUCUUGUACAUACAGAAUGGGGAGCAGAAUAAUGGGUGUAAUCCCUUCUGUUGGGGAAAAGGUCCCUCCAUAUAUCAAUUAAACCAACAUCCUCAAAAAGUGUAUUAACUUUCUUAUGUAAGGAUUUUGUUUCAUAGGUUUUUCUAUUGGAAGAGUCUAAGUUUGGUUCUAAUUGUAAAUUUAAGUCUCCCCUACAUAUCAGGAGACCUUCUGUUUCCACUACCAUAAUAUCAGUAAUUUUCUGAAAGAAACUAAUAUCACUUCCCGGGGGUGCAUAUAUAUUCAACAGAGUAACUGAAUUUCCAUCUAUAUUCCUCCUUACCAGAAUAUAUCUGCCCUCUUGAUCUCACAUUUUGAAUACUUUUUCAAAAUUUAGCUUAACUUGAGAUAAGAAUAGCAAUCUCCUAUGUCCUGAUUUAUAUGAGGAGAAAAACAAAUUAGUGAAGCCCAUUCUCUUUAGUUUUCUAUGCUCAUUAUCACUUAAAUGAGUUUCCUGUAAAUAUACUACAUAUGUUUUGGUUUUGUCCUAAAAUUGAGAAGUUUUGGUGGGAAGUAUUCCAUACUUUCUCACAACUUUUUAGGGUCCAAUUUGACCCAAAUCCCCUUACCGCCUUGUUUGGUAUUAUUGCAAAUGAAGAUAUAAUUUUAAAUAUUCCUAACCUACAGGUUUUGGUUUUUACCUCUCCUGUAGCAAGGAGAGCAAUCCUACUUAAAUGGAAGGAGUCUACCCCUCUUCAAUGGCUACGUGAUAUUAUGUCUUAUUUAAAAUUAGAGAAGAUCCGCUGCUCAGUCUUAAAUUUGAAACAAUCCUUUUAUGAUAUCUGGGGAUCUUUCCUAAAUUACUUUUCCAAUUUAUAAAGCUUAACAGUGCACAGACUUUUAUGUAUAUUUCUAUCUUCUCUUCUUAAGCGAAUAUGUAUUUUUUUCUAAUUAUCUAUUAUUAUCCAACAGCUUUUUUCUUUGGUAGUUGGUAGGGAGUUGACUUUUUUUUAUAUAAAAAAUUUCUUUUAUGAUGUAUGACCUAUCUUUAGAUUUUUGAUUAUGGAGUGAUAUACCUUUAUGUGUAAUGCUAUAACAUUUUGAUCAAUUUUAUUACAAUAUAUGAAUGUACACACUUUAUGUUGAGAUGUAUCUAUGUGUUGCACUCUGUAAAUCUUGUCUUUUCUUCUGAAUAAAAAUACUGUAAAAGA